RNAcentral lists this ribosomal RNA (2672 nucleotides) under Sargassum vulgare. RNAcentral describes it as "bacterial LSU rRNA". It matches the Rfam family "Bacterial large subunit ribosomal RNA". Lineage: Eukaryota; Phaeophyceae; Fucales; Sargassaceae. The record is from RNAcentral.
GUGAAUGCCUUGGAGGAAAAAUAUAGGCGUAAAUAAUUACGAGAGUGUUGGUCGAGAUAUACUGUGACACCAACCCCCCUAAUAUAGUAAACUAAAGCUGUAAAGCUUACUGUAAAUGCAGUAAUAUGGGGAAGUGAAACAUCUUAGUACCCUGUUUGUUAAAUCAACCGAGAAGCCAUAAGUAGUGGUGAGCGAAAGUGGUGUUUGGCUAAAUUAAAAAUUUAAAAACAAAAAAUUGUUUUUACCUUAGAAGGUUAUAGUCCUGUAGUUUUUAAUUUUUUUUUUAAUAGUAGAACAAGGCAAGUUUACCUUGUUCGAGUUUUGGGGGACCACCCUCAAAGCCUGAGGUUAUUUUUCUUUCCGAUAGUGAACAAGUACCGUGAGGGAAAGGUGAAAAAGAAGUCGCGACAGUGAAUAGAUCCUGAAACUCCGCAUUUGAGUCGGCGCUUUUAAAAGCAACGGCAUACCUUUUGUAUAAUGGGCAAGUGAAUCUUAAUAAAAGGCAAGCUUAAGCGUAUCAAAGUCUAGGCGAAGAUAACUCGAGUCUUAAAUGGCGACUCAUAGUCUUUUGUUAAGGACCCGAAACCGGUUGAUCUAAACUUGAGCAGGCUGAUAUUGUAGUGGUAACAUUUUUUGGAGGGCCGAACCCGUGUAUGUGGCAAAAUACUGGGAUGACUUGAGUUUAGGGGUGAAAGGCCAAUCAAAGCCGGUGAUAGCUGGAUUUCUGCGAAAUCUAUUUAAGUAGAGCGUUCUAUUAGAGUAGUCCGGGGUAGAGCACUGUGCAAGUGAGGGGAGCAUUUGCUUUACCGAGCUUUGGCAAACUUCGAAUACGGACUUUAUUUUUAGGGCAGACAGAACAUGUGUGCUAAGAUUCAUGUUCAAAAGGGAAACAGCCCAGAUUGUUAGUUAAGGUCCAUGAUAUAGCUUCAGUGACAAAGGUUAUUUAUGUUCUGAGACCGUCAGAAGGUAGGCUUGGAAGCAGCCAUUCUUUUAAGACAGCGUAACAGCUCACUGACCUAGAGUAUAAAUUCCGCAAAUUUUGAGGGCUUAAAGUUAUUACCGAAACUUCAAACAAAACAAUAUUACUAUAUUAUUUUGUGGUAGCAGAACAUUCCGUAGGUUGUAAAAGCUAUAGUGUAAACUAUUGUGAAGAUAUCGGAAAUGAGAAUACUUGCAUGAGUAGCACGAAACAAUGAUAAACGUUGUGGCUGUAAGUCUAAGGUUUCCGAUCUAAAGUAAAACUUGGUCGGCAGAAGCGUGUACUUCUAGAAAAAACGGUCCCUAAGCAGUCAAGCCAAGGCUUGUGGUGAUGGGUAAGAUUAUGCUGUGAUAAGUAACUGACGAAAAAUUCACUUUAUUUUUAAUAAAUUUAAAGGUAAAUUAUUUUUUCCAAGAAAAAGGCUCUUUUUUAAACCGUACCUUAAACCGUCACAGGUAGACGGGUUGAGAACACUAAGGCCUUGAGAUAACCCCGUUGAAGGAACUCGGCAAAAUGACUCUGUAACUUCGGAAUAAGGAGUAAAAAGUGGCGCGAAAGCUCUACUUUUUGGCACAAAAUUGGGGGUAGCGACUGUUUAUUAAAAACACAGGUCUCUGCUAACUCGUAAGAGGUUGUAUAGGGACUGACACCUGCCCGGUGCCGGUAGGUAAAGGCCCAGUGUUUACGCAUUGGUAUCAAACCCCGGUAAACGGCGGCUGUAACUAUGACGGUCCUAAGGUAGCGAAAUUCCUUGUCGGGUAAGUUCCGACCCGCAUGAAUGGUGUAACGACUUCCCCGCUGUCUCCAACGGGGUCUCAGUGAAAUUACAAAGGUCGUGAAGAUGCGACCACCCUACAGCUGGACGGAAAGACCCCGUGCACCUUUACUAUAUGCAACUAUUGUAAUUCAAAGAUUUUAGUGUAGAAUAGGUGGGAGCUUGUGAUUUAAUUUCUACGGAGAUUAUUUAGGCGUUAGUGAAAUACCACCCAAAAAUUUGUUGGUUUACUAACUUACGGACAGUGGUUGCUGGGUAGUUUGACUGGGGCGGUCGCCUCCUAAAAGGUAACGGAGGCGUACAAAGGUUUCCUCAGAUCGGUCAGAAAUCGAUCGAAGAGUGUAAAGGCAAAAGGAAGCUUGACUGUGAGACUUACAAGUCGAACAGAGACGAAAGUCGGUCUUAGUGAUCUGGCGAUAUUGAGUGGAAAAGUCGUCACUCAACGGAUAAAAGUUACUCUAGGGAUAACAGGCUGAUCUCCCCCAAGAGUUCACAUCGACGGGGAGGUUUGGCACCUCGAUGUCGGCUCAUCGCAUCCUGGGGCGGUAGUACGUCCCAAGGGUUGGGCUGUUCGCCCAUGAAAGCGGUACGUGAGCUGGGUUCAGAACGUCGUGAGACAGUUCGGUCCAUAUCCGGUGUAGGCGUUAGAGUAUUGAGAGGAUUCUUCUUUAGUACGAGAGGACCGAGAAGAACAUGCCGCUGGUGUACCAGUUAUCAUACCAAUGGUAAACGCUGGGUAGCCACGCAUGGAAAGGAUAACCGCUGAAAGCAUCUAAGUGGGAAGCUCACCUCAAGAUGAGUACUCUCAUUGUGAAAACAAGUAAGAUCACGGCAAGACUAGCCGUUUAAAUAGGCAUCAAGUAGAAGUGUAGUAAUAUAUUAAGCUGAGAUGUACUAAUAGAUCGAGGACUUGAACUA